CCUACGGGUGGCAGCAGUGAGGAAUAUUGGUCAAUGGCCGGAAGGCUGAACCAGCCAUGCCGCGUGAAGGUCAGUGCCCUAUGGGCGUUAAACUUCUUUUGUGCGGGAGCAAUAAUGGUCACGUGUGGCCAGACGAGAGUACCGUACGAAUAAGCAUCGGCUAACUCCGUGCCAGCAGCCGCGGUAAUACGGGGGAUGCAAGCGUUAUCCGGAUUUAUUGGGUUUAAAGGGUGCGUUAGGUGGGAGGUAAGUCAGCGGGGAAACGCCCCCGCUCAACGGGGUGAAGUGCCAUUGAUACUGCCUUGCUGGAGUGCGGAUGAGGUGGGAGGAAUGUGUGGUGUAGCGGUGAAAUGCAUAGAUAUCACACAGAACACCGAUUGCGAAGGCAGCUCACGGGUCCGCGAUUGACGCUGAUGCACGAAAGCGUGGGUAUCAAACAGGAUUAGAUACCCGGGUAGUC
This 460-nucleotide ribosomal RNA is filed under the name uncultured bacterium. RNAcentral's name for it is "partial 16S ribosomal RNA". It matches the Rfam family "Bacterial small subunit ribosomal RNA", at positions 338 to 795 of the family's 1533-position model. The record is from RNAcentral.